UCUGGAGAAACAGGCCAUUGAUCCAGGAGCACAUAAAACCAACUGAGUUUUGCCCUGAAGUGGAGUGUUUGGCAGGUGUUUCUGAGGCGAUUUGAGGAGCAUCCUAAACAGAUUGUCAAGGACACUUGGGAACAAGGGCAACUGUAAAUCAAAUCCUUCCCUCUCUUUCCCGCUGCUGCCUAACUUCAUCUAUUAACUGUGAAAUAAUGACAGCUAAAACUUUUUGACAAGCACCGUGAGUACUUCAAGGGCUUGCCUUUACUGCAAAGCCAGUAAAAGUCCAAUCUUGUGUUUAAUAAGGUGGGAGGGGACAGAGAGGGUGAAGUUCCACUGAGUUAGGAGUUUAUGGAAUGCAUUACUGGUAAGUUUCACUGUGAGAAGUUUACAGACGUGACUUGAUGUCUGAUGCCUUGCAUCUCCUCGUGUCUUUGGUUUUUGCUUUUGUUUUAGUCUUUGUUUUGUUUGUUUUGUUUUAUUCUAGGGUUUGAAUAUGUGCCCUCCCCCAAAUUCAUCCAUUCUACUAAUUGUGUUUGGACACCUGUUACCAUCUCUCCAUCUCCUUCUCAGGCUUCAGUAAUCGCCACUGUGCAUCCCAAUUGACUGUUUUUUUGUUUUUGAGGGGGUGGUUUGGGUACUAGGGAUUGAACUGGGGACCUUGCACUUGUGAUGCAGGCAGAGGAAUCACUGAGCUAAAUCCCUGGUCUGGCAACAUGUUUUUUGACACAUAGGUAAGUACUAGGAAAAAAUAGGUGACUCAGUAGUAAAUUCUCAUGUCUUUGGAAUUCUAUUUCCUACUCAUGGGGCGCAUAGGAACAUGCCUGUGUCCCCAUAAAACAAACGUUCAUGUUUAAAAUUAAUUUUUCAUCUUCAUUGUGAAGCCUUCCUGACAGUACACAGAAGUGACUCUUGUUCUCACUGUGUGCAUCCCUUUUAAUUGCGUGUUUUCUCUCAAUUGUUUGUGCUUAUGUGUGAGUCUUGCUCUCAGUAGGAUGUGAGUUUCUGAUGAGCCAUGACAGUAUCAAGUGCACUUCCUGCUCCUCACAUGGACCACGGGUGGGGCGUAUCAGAUGCUCCAGUCCUGCGCCCAUUCACUGCUUUGAUUUCCAAAUAGUGACAAGAUUCCCGUUCAUCUAGCAAACAGAUCUCCAGCAAUUCCAGAACACUCUAAAGGACCCUGAUUAUGCUGUACCUCGUGAAUAAUCCGCAUCAGGACUUCUUUCCACAGCCUCCCCGCCUAGCCUGUGAUAUUGCUUGAUCCUUCCUCACAGCAAGUCUGCAAAAGUUUUGAAUUAGCAAGCAAUAAUCCUCCAGCCAGGAUGAACUGAGGACAUGGCUGACUCCAGGGUGGAUGUGGAGAACACAAAAUACCCUCCCCACACAGAUCAGACAAUACCUUCCCUGGAAAAGAAAGACACCAUGUUAAUUGUCUACUCCAGUCUGCUGCAUAAUGAGCCACACCAGUGAUGAGUCAGUCCAUUUGUUCCAGUGAGACGUGUGGAAAAUCCCAGGAAAGAGGUAGAUGCAGAUGGUUUGAUGGACCUUGGGAGACUUGGGAAUAAGAAGAUCCUGGAUUCACCCCCUGCCAAGGCAUCUCACUGGUUGGGAAAGAGAAGAGAAGAUGCCUGAUUCUUGCAGUCUACGGCUUAUGAAGGAAAUCAUUGUCUGGAGGAGAAGUCGAAAUUCUUCAAGGUGAAGAAAAAUAUAAAGUCACAUAUGACUCUUGGCAUAGUGCCCUUUGGAUCAGUGUAAUAAUUCUCCCCAUUUUAAAGUAUAUAAUCUUCUUGGAAAUUUGAAAAAGACUUCGAAGUUAAAAAGGCGGAGAGAAACAACAAUGCUAAACUCUCUACUGUUUGACUUUCUCUAAUCUUCAUGACAUAAUGCAGACAAAUGUUUAUAUGUAUAUUUUUCUCAUUUUCUGAUUGCCAGUUUGAACAUUUUGAACAACACGUACAAAAUGAAGAGAAAAGAAACAGAAAUCUUUCAUAAUUUUAUUCCCCAGAGAUGACUACCAUGGAUAUUUUAAAGUUUUUCUUAUAAACUUAUAUGGUAUUGUUUUCAGUUGUUGAAACCAAGCUCCACAUUCUAGUAUUUUAAGAACAGAAAAAAAACAGGACAAGAAUGAUCAUAGGAAACAGGUUCUCUAUAAACGCAUGUGUUUUCCUCCAAUAUUUAUAUUCUAUAAACGUUGCAGAUAUGUUUAGCUAUGUAGCCUAUUAUAUUAUAAAGCUCCACCUACAACAAUCAUAUCUUGCUCCCAGACACAGCCUCAAAGUCUAGAAUAAUAUGUAGGCCUCUAAAGAUAGAGUA
Molecule: non-coding RNA, 2307 nt
Organism: Heterocephalus glaber (naked mole-rat)
Lineage: Eukaryota; Metazoa; Chordata; Mammalia; Rodentia; Bathyergidae
Source: RefSeq, a predicted model, not a curated record